Vicia villosa (hairy vetch) is the source of this 760-nucleotide long non-coding RNA. RefSeq lists it as uncharacterized. The transcript is spliced from 3 exons. Lineage: Eukaryota; Viridiplantae; Streptophyta; Magnoliopsida; Fabales; Fabaceae. The record is from RefSeq and is a predicted model, not a curated record.
GGACACGUGGUUUCCGUGGUGAUCAGAAAGAAUUCGAGGACGAAUUCAUUUUAAGGGGGGGAGAAUGUAAUACCCCGUAUUGGUCUAAGCAUGAUUAUUCAUAUAAUUAUGAAGUGCUAAGAGGGAAAUAAUGGAUUAUGAUAAAUAAGAGAAGUUAGUUGGAAUAGAAAGAUGUUGGUUAGAAACCAACUAAUGGCAAGAUUGUAGUUAUGGCUUAGUUGGGGGACAAAUUGGACUUUGAACACAUCUUGCAUGAACUUAAGGCAUUGUUUGGUAGUAGCUUUUCCAAAAUCAGAAUUUAUGAGGGAGAGAGCUUAGAAGCAUAGAAAGAAAGGAGAACUCAAGUUCAUCAAUUUCCAUUUUCGCAACCCAUGAUACAGCUCCACUAAAUCAGCUUCUGUUUCGAAGGAGAAAACUGACCUUGAAGUUGUGUCAGUGAUGCUGAAAGUGGGUACAAGUGUGAUUACGGAUUUGAUGAAGAUGGAGUGAAACUUUGGCUAUGGUGGGAGUCCAAUGGCAGCAAACAUCAUCUUUCUAAACCUCCAUUUUAGCAAGGUGCAGUUAGUAGCGUUUGGUCAGUAACAGGUUUGGACUGAAGACUUGGAAGUGGUGUUGGCUCGAAGACCUCGUUGGUUUUGUCAUUCCGCUGUGCAAGAUCCAUUGAAGACUCAUGUAUUAUGCUUCUUAGUAGAAUUUCAUGUUGUAUUUUAUAUGGAUCUUUCUAUAACUAUAGCUUUUGUAUGUACUCAAUAUCAAUUUU